GGAGUAACCUAGUGCCUAUAGCUAUGGCAGGUACCUGCAUCCUUGUUUUUGUUUAGUGGAUCCUCUAUCCUUCAGAGACUCUGGAACCCCUGUGCUCUUCUCCUCAUCUAGUGACCCUGAGGUGAUGGAGUUUUCAAGUCCUUCCAGAGAGGAAUGUCCCAAGCCUUCGGGUAGGGUAAGCAUCAUGGCUGGCAGCCUCACAGGAUUGCUUCUACUUCAGGCAGUGUCGUGGGCAUCAGAUGAGUGCCUUCAGCCGCUACAAGAGCAGAAGCAGUGGGCAUUGGAUGGAGCUGAGUACAGGACCAUACAGGCUAAUUGCACCGGCACAGUGAAAUAAGAUUUCGCCGCCUAUCAUCUGCUAACUGCUACGGACUCAGGCUCAGAAAGGCCUGCGCUUCACCCAGGAAUCGGAUAUAACAUCAUCUGGGUACCCAUGGCCAGCUGUGACUUCUCCAUCCGCACCUACACCUAUGCAGACACCCCUGAUGAUUUCCAGUUGCACAACUUCAGCCUCCCAGAGGAAGAUACCAAGCUCAAGAUACCCCUGAUUCACCGAGCCCUGCAGUUGGCCCAGCGUCCCGUUUCACUCCUUGCCAGCCCCUGGACAUCACCCACUCGGCUCAAGACCAGGGGAGCGGGGAAUGGGAAGGGGCCACUCAAGGGACAGCCCAGAGACAUCUACCACCAGACCUGGGCCAGAUACAUUGUGAAGUUCCUGGAUGCCUAUGCUGAGCACAAGUUACAGUUCUGGGCAGUGACAGCUGAAAAUGAGCCUUCUGCUGGGCUGUUGAGUGGAUACCCCUUCCAGUGCCUGGGCUUCACCCCUGAACAUCAGCGAGACUUCAUUGCCCGUGACCUAGGUCCUACCCUUGCCAACGGUACUCACCACAAUGUCCGCCUACUCAUGCUGGAUGACCAACGCUUGCUGCUGCCCCACUGGGCAAAGGUGGUACUGACAGACCCAGAAGCAGCUAAGUAUGUUCAUGGUAUUGCUGUACAUUGGUACCUGGACUUUCUGGCUCCAGCCAAAGCCACCCUAAGGGAGACACACCACCUGUUCCCCAACACCAUGCUCUUUGCCUCAGAGGCCUGUGUGGGUUCCAAGUUCUGGGAGCAGAGUGUGCGGCUAGGCUCCUGGGAUCGAGGGAUGCAGUACAGCCACAGCAUCAUCACAGUAAGCCACCCCAGUCUCCCUUCCUGCAAAGGAGACCUCAGACCCAUUAGUAGUCUCACCAAAGACUGAUAGAAGCCCUUCCUGUCCAGCUUUCCCCAGGUAGCCUGCCCUUUUGGGCAACUCUGGGGAACCAUGAUUCCCUGUCUUGCCUUUCCUUCACAGGUCUGCACACCUCAUUGCCCCUUUUGCAACUACUGAGGCACUUGCAGCUGCCUCAGACUUCUCAGCUCCCCUUGAGAUGCCUGGAUCUUCACACCCCCAACUCCUUAGCUACUAAGGAAUGUGCCCCUCACAGGGCUGACCUACCCACAGCUGCCUCUCCCACACGUGACCCUUACCUACACUCUCUGGGGACCCCCAGUGUUGCGCCUUUGUCUCCUUGCCUUUGUCCUUACCCUAGAACCUCCUGUACCAUGUGGUCGGCUGGACCGACUGGAACCCAUCAUUGUAGACAUCACCAAGCACACGUUUUACAAACAGCCCAUGUUCUACCACCUUGGCCACUUCAGCAAGUUCAUUCCUGAGGGCUCCCAGAGAGUGGGGCUGGUUGCCAGUCAGAAGAACGACCCGGACGCAGUGGCACUGAUGCAUCCCGAUGGCUCUGCUGUUGUGGUCGUGCUAAACCGCUCCUCUAAGGAUGUGCCUCUUACCAUCAAGGAUCCUGCUGUGGGCUUCCUGGAGACAAUCUCACCUGGCUACUCCAUUCACACCUACCUGUGGCGUCGCCAGUGAUGGAGCAGAUACUCAAGGAGGCACUGGGCUCAGCCUGGGCAUUAAAGGGACAGAGUCAGCUCACACGCUGUCUGUGACUAAAGAGGGCACAGCAGGGCCAGUGUGAGCUUACAGCGACGUAAGCCCAGGGGCAAUGGUUUGGGUGACUCACUUUCCCCUCUAGGUGGUGCCAGGGGCUGGAGGCCCCUAGAAAAAGAUCAGUAAGCCCCAGUGUCCCCCCAGCCCCCAUGCUUAUGUGAACAUGCGCUGUGUGCUGCUUGCUUUGGAAACUGGGCCUGGGUCCAGGCCUAGGGUGAGCUCACUGUCCGUACAAACACAAGAUCAGGGCUGAGGGUAAGGAAAAGAAGAGACUAGGAAAGCUGGGCCCAAAACUGGAGACUGUUUGUCUUUCCUGGAGAUGCAGAACUGGGCCCGUGGAGCAGCAGUGUCAGCAUCAGGGCGGAAGCCUUAAAGCAGCAGCGGGUGUGCCCAGGCACCCAGAUGAUUCCUAUGGCACCAGCCAGGAAAAAUGGCAGCUCUUAAAGGAGAAAAUGUUUGAGCCCA
Long non-coding RNA from Homo sapiens (human), 2449 nucleotides. Ensembl annotates it as glucosylceramidase beta 1 like, pseudogene. Its record names the gene GBA1LP. The record is from Ensembl. NCBI's taxonomy places the organism in Eukaryota, Metazoa, Chordata, Mammalia, Primates, Hominidae.